Long non-coding RNA from Lagopus muta (rock ptarmigan), 1046 nucleotides. RefSeq lists it as uncharacterized. The transcript has 3 exons. NCBI's taxonomy places the organism in Eukaryota, Metazoa, Chordata, Aves, Galliformes, Phasianidae. The record is from RefSeq and is a predicted model, not a curated record.
UGGGAUGCUCAUUUCAUUUACAAAGGCUUGAUGUCCUAUCUAACUGCAGCUAAGAACGUGUUAGAAAGUAAAACCUUGAGCCUUGAUGGGACUUUGUAUCCCAUCCUGUAGGUUGGGUUUGGUUACUUGUGAAAUUACUGCUCAAGAGGGCAGUGGAGAAAGGAUGCCAGGCAGCUUCUUGGCUUGAAACUGGACCUGAAAAGAGAACAGUUAAAAUAGAGAGGUUUCCUCUAUCCCAUGGUGUGCAUGAAAGCAAUGUUUGACAGCAUAGAAAAAGGGAGCAACGCUGGGCUGGCAGAAAAAUUUGAGUUGUUUUUUUUUUUUUAAAGGGAAGUGCAGCAGUCAUUUUUCACUUAGGAACAAACUAUUUCAAAUACACCAGAAAACUGCAGAUUUUCUUCACUGUUUUGAACAGCCCAAACACAAACAUAGAAAAGUGAAUAGAUUUUGCACUCUCCACUUAAAAUAUUGAAAGCUUUUCAGUGUUCUUAUUUAAAAAGGUUUUAUUCAUUACUAGUGAAUAGCUACCAGCUCAUCAUUAGUUUCUUUCUAUUCUCUUGCAGAAUAAUUCUUCAUAGUUACACCGUACAAGGAGAACCUGUCCCACUGGUUUUAGGGGCAGGAUAAAAUAAUGUGAACAGCAGGAGCAGUGACAGUUCAAUUAGCAACACUGGCAGCUUCUUUAGAAUGGGUUACGUUGCUAGAGAGCGGAGCUUGCUGGCCUCAAAAUGCCUCUUGUGAGGAGGAAGUAUGAGCUCCUGAACAAAAUCAAUAGUUAAGGUAACCAGAUCAGAUGAUUUGACAUAUCAUGUAAUUAUACAGAUUAUUCAAGUACAGGCAGAAUAAAAGAAUUGGCAAAGACAAGACUAUUCAAGAAAAACAAUUGACCAUGAUGUCAUGUUACAUGAAGAAAUAAACUCCUGCAUUAAUUUAACAUGAAUAUAAUUGGAAAGUUGCAUGGAUCAUCCAAUGCUUUGUUUACUUUGCAGGUUUUUCAUUUUGAAAAUAUGCAAACAUUAUUAAUAAUGCAGCAAAAAUUGAGUAAA